RNAcentral lists this ribosomal RNA (683 nucleotides) under uncultured beta proteobacterium. Its description in RNAcentral is "bacterial SSU rRNA". It matches the Rfam family "Bacterial small subunit ribosomal RNA", at positions 66 to 739 of the family's 1533-position model. The record is from RNAcentral. Lineage: Bacteria; Pseudomonadati; Pseudomonadota; Betaproteobacteria.
ACGCGGAGAGAAGCUUGCUUCUCACCGGCGACGAGUGGCGAACGGGUGAGUAAUACAUCGGAACGUGUCCGCUCGUGGGGGACAACCAGCCGAAAGGUUGGCUAAUACCGCAUGAGUUCUACGGAAGAAAGAGGGGGACCCGCAAGGGCCUCUCGCGAGCGGAGCGGCCGAUGACUGAUUAGCCGGUUGGUGAGGUAACGGCUCACCAAAGCAACGAUCAGUAGCUGGUCUGAGAGGACGACCAGCCACACUGGGACUGAGACACGGCCCAGACUCCUACGGGAGGCAGCAGUGGGGAAUUUUGGACAAUGGGCGCAAGCCUGAUCCAGCUAUUCCGCGUGUGGGAUGAAGGCCCUCGGGUUGUAAACCACUUUUGUAGAGAACGAAAAGACACCUUUUAAAAAAGGGUGUUGCUGACGGUACUCUAAGAAUAAGCACCGGCUAACUACGUGCCAGCAGCCGCGGUAAUACGUAGGGUGCGAGCGUUAAUCGGAAUUACUGGGCGUAAAGGGUGCGCAGGCGGUUGAGUAAGACAGAUGUGAAAUCCCCGAGCUUAACUCGGGAAUGGCAUAUGUGACUGCUCGACUAGAGUGUGUCAGAGGGAGGUGGAUUCCACGUGUAGCAGUGAAAUGCGUAGAUAUGUGGAAGAACACCGAUGGCGAAGGCAGCCUCCUGGGACAUAA